RNAcentral lists this ribosomal RNA (469 nucleotides) under uncultured bacterium. RNAcentral's name for it is "partial 16S ribosomal RNA". It matches the Rfam family "Bacterial small subunit ribosomal RNA", at positions 27 to 507 of the family's 1533-position model. The record is from RNAcentral.
GGACGAACGCUGGCGGCGUGCUUACCACAUGCAAGUCGAACGGAAAGGCCCUGCUUUUGUGGGGUGCUCGAGUGGCGAACGGGUGAGUAACACGUGAGUAACCUGCACUUGACUUUGGGAUAACUUCAGGAAACUGGGGCUAAUACCGGAUAGGAGCUCCUGCUGCAUGGUGGGGGUUGGAAAGUUUCGGCGGUUGGGGAUGGACUCGCGGCUUAUCAGCUUGUUGGUGGGGUAGUGGCUUACCAAGGCUUUGACGGGUAGCCGGCCUGAGAGGGUGACCGGCCACAUUGGGACUGAGAUACGGCCCAGACUCCUACGGGAGGCAGCAGUGGGGAAUAUUGCACAAUGGGCGGAAGCCUGAUGCAGCAACGCCGCGUGCGGGAUGACGGCCUUCGGGUUGUAAACCGCUUUCGCCUGUGACGAAGCGUGAGUGACGGUAAUGGGUAAAGAAGCACCGGCUAACUACGUG